GCCAUGGUGGUUCAAUGGUUAAGCGUUCGGCUGCUAACUGAAAGAUUGGUGAGUCAAACCUACCCAAUGGCU
RNAcentral lists this transfer RNA (72 nucleotides) under Loxodonta africana (African savanna elephant). It matches the Rfam family "tRNA". Rfam says of the family: Transfer RNA (tRNA) molecules are approximately 80 nucleotides in length. Their secondary structure includes four short double-helical elements and three loops (D, anti-codon, and T loops). Further hydrogen bonds mediate the characteristic L-shaped molecular structure. tRNAs have two regions of fundamental functional importance: the anti-codon, which is responsible for specific mRNA codon recognition, and the 3' end, to which the tRNAs corresponding amino acid is attached (by aminoacyl-tRNA synthetases). tRNAs cope with the degeneracy of the genetic code in two manners: having more than one tRNA (with a specific anti-codon) for a particular amino acid; and 'wobble' base-pairing, i.e. permitting non-standard base-pairing at the 3rd anti-codon position. The record is from Rfam by way of RNAcentral. Lineage: Eukaryota; Metazoa; Chordata; Mammalia; Proboscidea; Elephantidae.